Molecule: non-coding RNA, 119 nt
Organism: Phaseolus vulgaris (common bean)
Lineage: Eukaryota; Viridiplantae; Streptophyta; Magnoliopsida; Fabales; Fabaceae
Source: Rfam
GUGAAGGUAGAAGGCCUACGGGUCAUGAACUUCUUUUCCCGGAGAAGAAGCAAUGACGGUAUCCGGGGAAUAAGCAUCGGCUAACUCUGUGCCAGCAGCCGCGGUAAGACAGAGGAUGC